GGGCAGGUAGCUCAGCCAGGUUGGAGCGCCAGUCUUAUAAACUGGUGGUCGAGAGUUCAAAUCUCUCCCUGCCCACCA
The sequence is a transfer RNA, 78 nucleotides long. It matches the Rfam family "tRNA". From Rfam's summary of the family: Transfer RNA (tRNA) molecules are approximately 80 nucleotides in length. Their secondary structure includes four short double-helical elements and three loops (D, anti-codon, and T loops).